This 640-nucleotide ribosomal RNA is filed under the name Stenotrophomonas sp. RNAcentral describes it as "bacterial SSU rRNA". It matches the Rfam family "Bacterial small subunit ribosomal RNA", at positions 62 to 691 of the family's 1533-position model. Lineage: Bacteria; Pseudomonadati; Pseudomonadota; Gammaproteobacteria; Lysobacterales; Lysobacteraceae. The record is from RNAcentral.
UCGAACGGCAGCACAGGAGAGCUUGCUCUCUGGGUGGCGAGUGGCGGACGGGUGAGGAAUACAUCGGAAUCUACUUUUUCGUGGGGGAUAACGUAGGGAAACUUACGCUAAUACCGCAUACGACCUACGGGUGAAAGCAGGGGAUCUUCGGACCUUGCGCGAUUGAAUGAGCCGAUGUCGGAUUAGCUAGUUGGCGGGGUAAAGGCCCACCAAGGCGACGAUCCGUAGCUGGUCUGAGAGGAUGAUCAGCCACACUGGAACUGAGACACGGUCCAGACUCCUACGGGAGGCAGCAGUGGGGAAUAUUGGACAAUGGGCGCAAGCCUGAUCCAGCCAUACCGCGUGGGUGAAGAAGGCCUUCGGGUUGUAAAGCCCUUUUGUUGGGAAAGAAAUCCAGCUGGCUAAUACCCGGUUGGGAUGACGGUACCCAAAGAAUAAGCACCGGCUAACUUCGUGCCAGCAGCCGCGGUAAUACGAAGGGUGCAAGCGUUACUCGGAAUUACUGGGCGUAAAGCGUGCGUAGGUGGUCGUUUAAGUCCGUUGUGAAAGCCCUGGGCUCAACCUGGGAACUGCAGUGGAUACUGGGCGACUAGAGUGUGGUAGAGGGUAGCGGAAUUCCUGGUGUAGCAGUGAAAUGCGU